AGUGAACGCUGGCGGUAGGCCUAACACAUGCCAGUCGAACGGCAGCACAGUAAGAGCUUGCUCUUACGGGUGGCGAGUGGCGGACGGGUGAGGAAUACAUCGGAAUCUACUUUUUCGUGGGGGAUAACGUAGGGAAACUUACGCUAAUACCGCAUACGACCUACGGGUGAAAGCAGGGGAUCUUCGGACCUUGCGCGAUUGAAUGAGCCGAUGUCGGAUUAGCUAGUUGGCGGGGUAAAGGCCCACCAAGGCGACGAUCCGUAGCUGGUCUGAGGGGAUGAUCAGCCACACUGGAACUGAGACACGGUCCAGACUCCUACGGGAGGCAGCAGUGGGGAAUAUUGGACAAUGGGCGCAAGCCUGAUCCAGCCAUACCGCGUGGGUGAAGAAGGCCUUCGGGUUGUAAAGCCCUUUUGUUGGGAAAGAAAAGCAGCAGGUUAAUACCCCGCUGUUCUGACGGUACCCAAAGAAUAAGCACCGGCUAACUUCGU
This 491-nucleotide ribosomal RNA is filed under the name uncultured bacterium. RNAcentral's name for it is "partial 16S ribosomal RNA". It matches the Rfam family "Bacterial small subunit ribosomal RNA", at positions 29 to 506 of the family's 1533-position model. The record is from RNAcentral.